GAUGAAGAACGUAGCGAAAUGCGAUAAGUAAUGUGAAUUGCAGAAUUCAGUGAAUCAUCGAAUCUUUGAACGCACAUUGCGCCCGCCAGUAUUCUGGCGAGCAUGCCUGUUCGAGCGUCAUUUCAACCAUCAAGCCCCAGGCUUGUGUUGGAGCCCUGCGGCUGCCGCAGCCUCCCAAAACCAGUGGCGGGCUCGCUAUCACACCGAGUGCAGUAGUUUACUCUUCGCUCAGGGCGUGUGGCGGGUGCUAGCCGUGAAACCCCCAACUUCUCAAGGUUGACCUCGGAUCAGGUAGGAAUACCCGCUGAACUUAAGCAUAUCAAUAAGCAGAGA
RNAcentral lists this unclassified non-coding RNA (333 nucleotides) under soil metagenome. RNAcentral's name for it is "partial contains 5.8S ribosomal RNA, internal transcribed spacer 2, and large subunit ribosomal RNA". The stretch from base 1 to 120 matches the Rfam family "5.8S ribosomal RNA", at positions 35 to 154 of the family's 154-position model. The record is from RNAcentral.